This 465-nucleotide ribosomal RNA is filed under the name Vreelandella stevensii. RNAcentral describes it as "partial 16S ribosomal RNA". It matches the Rfam family "Bacterial small subunit ribosomal RNA", at positions 338 to 795 of the family's 1533-position model. Lineage: Bacteria; Pseudomonadati; Pseudomonadota; Gammaproteobacteria; Oceanospirillales; Halomonadaceae. The record is from RNAcentral.
CCUACGGGUGGCAGCAGUGGGGAAUAUUGGACAAUGGGCGAAAGCCUGAUCCAGCCAUGCCGCGUGUGUGAAGAAGGCCUUCGGGUUGUAAAGCACUUUCAGUGGGGAAGAAAGCCUUGGGGCUAAUACCCUCGAGGAAGGACAUCACCCACAGAAGAAGCACCGGCUAACUCCGUGCCAGCAGCCGCGGUAAUACGGAGGGUGCGAGCGUUAAUCGGAAUUACUGGGCGUAAAGCGCGCGUAGGCGGUCUGAUAAGCCGGUUGUGAAAGCCCCGGGCUCAACCUGGGAACGGCAUCCGGAACUGUCAGGCUAGAGUGCAGGAGAGGAAGGUAGAAUUUCCGGUGUAGCGGUGAAAUGCGUAGAGAUCGGGAGGAAUACCAGUGGCGAAGGCGGCCUUCUGGACUGACACUGACGCUGAGGUGCGAAAGCGUGGGUAGCAAACAGGAUUAGAUACCCUGGUAGUC